AAGCAGGAGGGACCACCCUCCAAGGCUAAAUACUACCUAGUGACCGAUAGCGUAUAGUACCGUGAGGGAAAGGGGAAAAGAACCCCGGGAGGGGAGUGAAAUAGAACCUGAAACCCUGCACUUACAACCUGUGGAAGCACAUUUCUUGUGUGACCGCGUACUUUUUGUAGAACGGGCCAACGAGUUACGUUAAGUAGCAAG
RNAcentral lists this ribosomal RNA (201 nucleotides) under Clostridioides difficile. RNAcentral describes it as "partial 23S ribosomal RNA". It matches the Rfam family "Bacterial large subunit ribosomal RNA", at positions 441 to 644 of the family's 2925-position model. Lineage: Bacteria; Bacillati; Bacillota; Clostridia; Peptostreptococcales; Peptostreptococcaceae. The record is from RNAcentral.